AGAGUUUGAUCCUGGCUCAGGAUGAACGCUAGCUACAGGCUUAACACAUGCAAGUCGAGGGGCAGCAUGGUCUUAGCUUGCUAAGGCCGAUGGCGACCGGCGCACGGGUGAGUAACACGUAUCCAACCUGCCGUCUACUCUUGGACAGCCUUCUGAAAGGAAGAUUAAUACAAGAUGGCAUCAUGAGUCCGCAUGUUCACAUGAUUAAAGGUAUUCCGGUAGACGAUGGGGAUGCGUUCCAUUAGAUAGUAGGCGGGGUAACGGCCCACCUAGUCUUCGAUGGAUAGGGGUUCUGAGAGGAAGGUCCCCCACAUUGGAACUGAGACACGGUCCAAACUCCUACGGGAGGCAGCAGUGAGGAAUAUUGGUCAAUGGGCGAGAGCCUGAACCAGCCAAGUAGCGUGAAGGAUGACUGCCCUAUGGGUUGUAAACUUCUUUUAUAAAGGAAUAAAGUCGGGUAUGGAUACCCGUUUGCAUGUACUUUAUGAAUAAGGAUCGGCUAACUCCGUGCCAGCAGCCGCGGUAAUACGGAGGAUCCGAGCGUUAUCCGGAUUUAUUGGGUUUAAAGGGAGCGUAGAUGGAUGUUUAAGUCAGUUGUGAAAGUUUGCGGCUCAACCGUAAAAUUGCAGUUGAUACUGGAUAUCUUGAGUGCAGUUGAGGCAGGCGGAAUUCGUGGUGUAGCGGUGAAAUGCUUAGAUAUCACGAAGAACUCCGAUUGCGAAGGCAGCCUGCUAAGCUGCAACUGACAUUGAGGCUCGAAAGUGUGGGUAUCAAACAGGAUUAGAUACCCUGGUAGUCCACACGGUAAACGAUGAAUACUCGCUGUUUGCGAUAUACGGCAAGCGGCCAAGCGAAAGCGUUAAGUAUUCCACCUGGGGAGUACGCCGGCAACGGUGAAACUCAAAGGAAUUGACGGGGGCCCGCACAAGCGGAGGAACAUGUGGUUUAAUUCGAUGAUACGCGAGGAACCUUACCCGGGCUUAAAUUGCAGAUGAAUUACGGUGAAAGCCGUAAGCCGCAAGGCAUCUGUGAAGGUGCUGCAUGGUUGUCGUCAGCUCGUGCCGUGAGGUGUCGGCUUAAGUGCCAUAACGAGCGCAACCCUUGUUGUCAGUUACUAACAGGUUCCGCUGAGGACUCUGACAAGACUGCCAUCGUAAGAUGUGAGGAAGGUGGGGAUGACGUCAAAUCAGCACGGCCCUUACGUCCGGGGCUACACACGUGUUACAAUGGGGGGUACAGAGGGCCGCUACCACGCGAGUGGAUGCCAAUCCCCAAAACCUCUCUCAGUUCGGACUGGAGUCUGCAACCCGACUCCACGAAGCUGGAUUCGCUAGUAAUCGCGCAUCAGCCACGGCGCGGUGAAUACGUUCCCGGGCCUUGUACACACCGCCCGUCAAGCCAUGGGAGCCGGGGGUACCUGAAGUGCGUAACCGCGAGGAGCGCCCUAGGGUAAAACUGGUGACUGGGGCUAAGUCGUAACAAGGUAGCCGUACCGGAAGGUGCGGCUGGAACACCU
RNAcentral lists this ribosomal RNA (1516 nucleotides) under Phocaeicola vulgatus. RNAcentral's name for it is "bacterial SSU rRNA". It matches the Rfam family "Bacterial small subunit ribosomal RNA". The record is from RNAcentral. Lineage: Bacteria; Pseudomonadati; Bacteroidota; Bacteroidia; Bacteroidales; Bacteroidaceae.